AACAUCUGUUACAGAACAUUUGAUAAGAAUAUUUUAAUCCUCAUUUCAAUCAUGUUUACAUUUUCUAUAUUGCUUCUCUUCAUUUGGGCAAGAUUUGAAUCUAAAUCUCCAGACUAACUGCUCACUGGCCCUGAGUCGUGAGUUCCAGCCCUGGCCGAGUCAUACCAAAGACUAUACAAAUGGGACCCAUUACCUCCCUGCUUGGCACUCAGCAUCAAGGGUUGGAAUUGGGGGUUAAAUCACCAAAAAUGAUUCCCAAGAGCGGCUCACUGCUCCCCUCACCUCCCAGCGGGUGGAACAAGGGGAUGGGUCAAAUGCAGAGGGUAAUUUCACCACACCUAGUGUGUGUGUGUGUGUGUGUGUGUGACUAUCAGUGGUACUUUAACUUUAACUACUAUUUACUCUAAUUCUAAAUACAAUGUAUUAUUAUAAUCUACUAUCUAUGAAUGUUCCUAUUCAUCCAUGUCAUGUAUUCUCAGGGCAUUGAAUCCAUCGCAACUGGACUGUUCAGAUUGUUAAGAAGACGUUCUCCCCUUCGUCCAAACAGGCUUCAUCAAUUCACGCUUGAAAAAAUUUGAUAAAUCAGCUGUAGUCUGAGGGCAUGGUGCAGGAUCCACAUUUUUCAUAUUCUUUGAGGAUAAAUACUUGUCCAAGGUAGUUGUCCUCCAGAGAAAAUACAUAUUUUGGAUCCUGCACCAUGGCCUCAGAAUAAACUUGGCUAGGACUGUCACGACCAGGGCGCAUUCCAAUGCGCCCUCAUCUGUUCGUCCUGACGAGCGCACCUCGGGACACGCCCACGGCCGCGGCGCACUUUCAGCGACGCACCGCGCGUGUCUCCGCUCUGCUGCAGCCGCCAGCUGCAAUCAUUCACUGGCAAUCGGCGCACCUGUCGGUAAUGAGGAAGCUGCCUUCAUAAGCCUGCUGCACCGGCCAUCAGGCACCGGAAUAUAGUCUCCUGUAUAUACCCUCCGUCACCUUGAAUGUGAGCUGUGCGUCUCACCUUUCCCUGGAUCUCCCUCUGGACUCUGACUGCCUCCCUCGAUCCUUGACUUCCCCCGCAUUGGACUCGGACUUCUCUCUCCCCUGAACUUCCUCGUCUCUUGACAACAUUUGGUAACACACACUUCAGCUAAUCGACACACAUAGUCCCACACAUACACUCUUGGAUUU
Molecule: non-coding RNA, 1170 nt
Organism: Nerophis lumbriciformis (worm pipefish)
Lineage: Eukaryota; Metazoa; Chordata; Actinopteri; Syngnathiformes; Syngnathidae
Source: RefSeq, a predicted model, not a curated record